CAGUUAAACAUGGGUCAACAAAAGAAAUCCAUAAAAAAAAGUUUGAAUGACAUAUUAAUGCUUCAAUAUAAUUGUGCGAUGCUACAAAAUUAGGACUCUCGACUUUCCAAUGGUGAAAUAUGAGGACUCAAUUAUCGCCGGCAGGCUAAGGAUGGAGGGACGACCGCGGACAGAUCUUCAGAACGCGGCAAGAGAGGCGCAGUGCAAAUAUGAAUGCUUGUGAAUCGCCGGUAAGUGGCGCCCAAAAUCACAGAAUUUCACUUCACGGCAGCUAUCUUGUUCAAAAUAUUAUUCAAGGAAUUAUAGCUACUAUCUUGUGGAUUAUUUUUAGGAAUCGUUUAGUAAGUUUGUUUUAUUAUAAAGGAUUCCUAAUUUAAUUCAAAAAUUCU
RNAcentral lists this long non-coding RNA (389 nucleotides) under Salvia miltiorrhiza (redroot sage). RNAcentral's name for it is "long non-coding RNA (SMIL_LNC003691)". Lineage: Eukaryota; Viridiplantae; Streptophyta; Magnoliopsida; Lamiales; Lamiaceae. The record is from RNAcentral.